Lolium perenne is the source of this 1260-nucleotide long non-coding RNA. RefSeq lists it as uncharacterized. The record is from RefSeq and is a predicted model, not a curated record. Lineage: Eukaryota; Viridiplantae; Streptophyta; Magnoliopsida; Poales; Poaceae.
AUUCCCUGUACGCUGCUUCCAGAUCCUCUGUUCGUGCUUGUUCGUUCCUCUCUCUCUUGACUAGGUUUAGCGAUUACAACCAAAAAGAGGGGAAAAUUGGAGUGAGGUGGUGGAGCAGCAGCACAGCGCCGACGCCGGCAACCGGGGUCCAGGCCUCCAGGGGUCGGCCAGGGAGUCGUCGCACCCUGCGGGCGCCGCCGCACGGGCACGGGGCUGGCUGCCGACGGUGCGCCCCAGCGGCUACUGCCCGCGACUUGGACUGAAUCAAUCCCUUCUCUUCGGCUGUUUCCCUGCCAAGCACACUGUAAUGGGAAAGGCCACUCAGAGAAGAAUUUUUCAGAAGAAGUCGCACGAUAUUGUAAAUGCUGUUCGCCCAGUAUCCUCAACAAAAGAGUGUCUUCAAGAGCUAAGAUCAGAUGAUGGCUACCAACAAUUCAUUGACACUGUUAUUGAAUUUUGUGUAAGCCACUCCAUUGACAUUCCUGACUUUGAGUAAACAUACAUCCUGCGUGGCGGCCGUGCACGUCAUCAGCCUGAUCAGUUCACCAAGGAGCAUUACUUUCGAGUGGAAAUUUUCCGUGCAACUUUGGACACUCAACUAUUUGAAUUGAAUCGAAGGUUCAAUGAGAAGGUAAUGGGUCUUCUAUCUACUAGUGCCACUUUGAUUCCUAGAAACAAAUUCAAAGGGUUCAAAGCUAGUGAUAUAUGUGAGAUGGUGAAAAAGUAUUACCCGGCAGAUUUCCCGCAAGAUAUUUACGGAUUACAACAACAACUGAAACAUUUUGUUUUGGAUGCUUCCAAAGAUGAGGAAUUGAAGAAAAUAUCAACCUUGAUUGAUCUUUGUCGAUGCCUUGUGGAGACGGGAAGACAUAUUAUCUACAAUUUGAUUGAUAGAUUACUCCGUUUGCUUAUCACUCUUCCAGUUUCUACGGCAAGCGCUGAACGUGCAUUUUCUAGUUUAAAGAUUAUUAAAACAAGGUUACGCAAUAAGAUGGAAGAUGAUAAUCUGGCCAACAACAUGUUAGUUCACAUAGAGGGUGCUAUUCUGGACGAUUACAAGUAUGAUGAUGUCAUUUUUUAUUUUAAAAGCAUCAAGGAUCGGGCAGCUGACUUGUAGACACAUGUACUGUCUAGUUUAUUUUUGUGUAGCUUUUUUUGCUGUAUACUGCAUAUAUGGAUGUUUCUCCUGAUUUUGUAAGCAGUGUGACCAAAAUGAUUGGAUCGAUGAGUAAUUUUCUAAUGAACGGGUGUGUUUGGGAA